This 67-nucleotide transfer RNA is filed under the name Leconectes striatellus. RNAcentral's name for it is "tRNA-Ala". The record is from RNAcentral. Lineage: Eukaryota; Metazoa; Arthropoda; Insecta; Coleoptera; Dytiscidae.
GGGAUUAUAGUUAAAUCUAACAUUUAGUUUGCAUCUAAAAAAUAUUGAAAAUAAUCAAUUUAUCUCA